This 253-nucleotide ribosomal RNA is filed under the name uncultured bacterium. Its description in RNAcentral is "partial 16S ribosomal RNA". It matches the Rfam family "Bacterial small subunit ribosomal RNA", at positions 524 to 776 of the family's 1533-position model. The record is from RNAcentral.
UACGGGGGGGGUAAGCGUUGUUCGGAAUUACUGGGCGUAAAGGGCUCGUAGGCGGCCAACUAAGUCAUACGUGAAAUCCCUCAGCUUAACUGGGGAACUGCGUGUGAUACUGGAUGGCUUGGAUUUGGGAGAGGGAUGCGGAAUUCCAGGUGUAGCGGUGAAAUGCGUAGAUAUCUGGAGGAAGACCAGUGGCGAAGGCGGGUCUCUGGACAGUUCCUGACACUGAGACACGAAGGCCAGGGGAGCAAACGGG